ACACGCCGCCCACUCCUACGGGAGGCAGCAGUGGGGAAUAUUGCACAAUGGGCGCAAGCCUGAUGCAGCCAUGCCGCGUGUGUGAAGAAGGCCUUCGGGUUGUAAAGCACUUUCAGCAGUGAGGAAAGGUUAGUAGUUAAUACCUGCUAGCUGUGACGUUAACUGCAGAAGAAGCACUGGCUAACUCCGUGCCAGCAGCCGCGGUAAUACGGAGGGUGCGAGCGUUAAUCGGAAUUACUGGGCGUAAAGCGUACGCAGGCGGUUUGUUAAGCGAGAUGUGAAAGCCCCGGGCUCAACCUGGGAACUGCAUUUCGAACUGGCAAACUAGAGUGUGAUAGAGGGUGGUAGAAUUUCAGGUGUAGCGGUGAAAUGCGUAGAGAUCUGAAGGAAUACCGAUGGCGAAGGCAGCCACCUGGGUCAACACUGACGCUCAUGUACGAAAGCGUGGGGAGCAAACGGGAUUAGAUACCCCGGUAGUCCACGCCGUAAACGAUGUCUACUAGGAGUUCGGUUUUUCGGAACUGUCUUCCAAAGCUAACGCAUUAAGUAGACCGCCUGGGGAGUACGGCCGCAAGGUUAAAACUCAAAUGAAUUGACGGGGGCCCGCACAAGCGGUGGAGCAUGUGGUUUAAUUCGAUGCAACGCGAAGAACCUUACCUACNCUUGACAUCCAGAGAACUUACUAGAGAUAGUUUGGUGCCUUCGGGAACUCUGAGACAGGUGCUGCAUGGCU
This 733-nucleotide ribosomal RNA is filed under the name Pseudoalteromonas sp. ESY_W1. RNAcentral describes it as "bacterial SSU rRNA". It matches the Rfam family "Bacterial small subunit ribosomal RNA", at positions 324 to 1050 of the family's 1533-position model. The record is from RNAcentral. Lineage: Bacteria; Pseudomonadati; Pseudomonadota; Gammaproteobacteria; Alteromonadales; Pseudoalteromonadaceae.